CUUCAACAUUGGAUGUAGAACUUAGAAUGCUCCACAUUAUAGAAGGUGAUGAUGACGAAACGACCACAAGCAAGAACCUACAAAGAAACCAGAGUUGCAUUCCAUUGAACUUCUGUUGGAUUAUUUCAUUCACGAGCUCUCAUGCAGAAACAAUUUCGAAUUCAUUCAAGCUGUUAUACGUUUAUUUCUGAAGAUUCAUGGGGAGUCGAUUCGAAGGCAGUCAAAUUUAGAGGACAAGGCUAAAAAGCUUCUAGAACUUCAGUCAACAGUAUGGCAAUCAGUAGAUAAGUUAUUUCAGAGUGCUAGGUGCAUGGUUACAUUCCUAAGUAAUUCACAAUUCUGAACGGUUUUGAGUUAGUUGCACUAGUGUUUGUUACACAGUUUUGUUUCCUUGCCUGUUUGUAUCAAUUGUUGUAUCAAUAAUAUUUAAAUUCCAUUCUA
Molecule: long non-coding RNA, 441 nt
Organism: Daucus carota subsp. sativus
Lineage: Eukaryota; Viridiplantae; Streptophyta; Magnoliopsida; Apiales; Apiaceae
Exons: 2
Source: RefSeq, a predicted model, not a curated record